This is a long non-coding RNA of Trichomycterus rosablanca, 392 nucleotides long. RefSeq lists it as uncharacterized. The record is from RefSeq and is a predicted model, not a curated record. Lineage: Eukaryota; Metazoa; Chordata; Actinopteri; Siluriformes; Trichomycteridae. The transcript is spliced from 3 exons.
CACGUUUGGUUAUUUGUACACAAAAUGCAGCAUCAGGAUAUUCGAAUAUUUUCGGAAUAGGUGCAGAACUGCAUUUAUAAAGUUUCAGUGUUGCAAUGGAGUUCUCGGAAGAAGAGAGGAUGUGGUUGUUGGACAUGGCUGCAGAGAUACCUGAUGGAGAACUCACUCCACUGGAGGAGCACUGGUGUGAGUUGGCAAAGCCACAGACGGCAGUAGAAGCUGUGACAUUCCAGCUAAUGGCCUGCAUACGUUUUAAUCUGACCAGCCAAAUCAUCUUAGACCUGGACAAGUUCAAAACCAUAAUGCAGGAAUGGAACAAAAUUUGAAGUGUGAAUUAAAAUGGCAAGUAAAAAUGGAACUGAAAUAUGGAGCCAAUUUGCAAAGAUAAGAAU